GUUGGGCGCAGUGGCGCAUGCCUGUAAUCCUGGCAUCUUGGGAGGCUGAGGCAGGAGGAUCACGAGUUCAAAGCCAGCCUCAGCAACUUAGUGAGGCCCUGAGCAACUCACUAGACCUUGUCUCUA
RNAcentral lists this small RNA (126 nucleotides) under Marmota monax (woodchuck). The record is from RNAcentral. Lineage: Eukaryota; Metazoa; Chordata; Mammalia; Rodentia; Sciuridae.